GGUAGUCCACGCCGUAAACGAUGUCGACUUGGAGGUUGUGCCCCUGAGGCGUGGCUUCCGGAGCUAACGCGUUAAGUCGACCGCCUGGGGAGUACGGCCGCAAGGUUAAAACUCAAAUGAAUUGACGGGGGCCCGCACAAGCGGUGGAGCAUGUGGUUUAAUUCGAUGCAACGCGAAGAACCUUACCUACUCUUGACAUCCAGAGAACUUAGCAGAGAUGCUUUGGUGCCUUCGGGAACUCUGAGACAGGUGCUGCAUGGCUGUCGUCAGCUCGUGUUGUGAAAUGUUGGGUUAAGUCCCGCAACGAGCGCAACCCUUAUCCUUUGUUGCCAGCGGUUAGGCCGGGAACUCAAAGGAGACUGCCAGUGAUAAACUGGAGGAAGGUGGGGAUGACGUCAAGUCAUCAUGGCCCUUACGAGUAGGGCUACACACGUGCUACAAUGGCGCAUACAAAGAGAAGCGACCUCGCGAGAGCAAGCGGACCUCAUAAAGUGCGUCGUAGUCCGGAUUGGAGUCUGCAACUCGACUCCAUGAAGUCGGAAUCGCUAGUAAUCGUAGAUCAGAAUGCUACGGUGAAUACGUUCCCGGGCCUUGUACACACCGCCCGUCACACCAUGGGAGUGGGUUGCAAAAGAAGUAGGUAGCUUAACCUUCGGGAGGGCGCUUACCACUUUGUGAUUCAUGACUGGGGUGAAGUCGUAACAAGGUAACCGUAGGGGAACCUGC
RNAcentral lists this ribosomal RNA (726 nucleotides) under uncultured bacterium. RNAcentral describes it as "bacterial SSU rRNA". It matches the Rfam family "Bacterial small subunit ribosomal RNA", at positions 789 to 1515 of the family's 1533-position model. The record is from RNAcentral.